RNAcentral lists this long non-coding RNA (1100 nucleotides) under Pogona vitticeps (central bearded dragon). Its description in RNAcentral is "lncRNA (ENSPVIG00000003815.1)". The record is from RNAcentral. Lineage: Eukaryota; Metazoa; Chordata; Lepidosauria; Squamata; Agamidae.
AUGGCAUCGAGUGGGACAGAACUCAGAGGCGUUCCUCUUCCAAGCCGUGACGGCAGACUUUUCAGGAGCAAAUCUGUGGAGGAUUUUGUCCUCUCCUGGGACGGUCCCUCGACCUUGAAGGCCAAGAGCUUUUCCCAGGCCAGUUUGGACUCCGGAAGAGCCGCCUCUUCGCCAAGCGUGGGGAAAUCGCUGUGCAAAGCAUCCGUCCGCGCCGACCGUCAGGGAGGCCCCGUCGAAACCGACAAGACGGGGGCCGUUCGUCCGACCAACCCAAGGAUCCAAGCUCGGAGAGGGGACCCCGGCUGUGCCCUAAGCAGCAAGAGGGGAAGACAGCCGGGAAGCCCCAUCCCCCGUCUGCGUGAGCAUGAUCUGCUCAGGAAGGAGGUACAACUCAUGCGGGGGAGAAAGGCAGUUCCUUCCAUGGUGUCGGCUUCGGUGUACCCGUCAAGAAAGGUCAAUAGCUAUGAGAAAACGGUGAGAGUUUUUGGUGACUCGGAUAACAGAAGACACAUACCUUACCAAGGACACAAGAUAUCUGGUUUCCCCUCGGUGAAGGAGCGGUCAGUUCUCUAUUUAUCCCACGCAGCUGCUAUCGCUGAUCACCCCAGUGGCCUGACGGAACUAAAUUUCGUACACAAGAUCUCUUCAAAUUCUCUUGAUAACCAGAAAGCAAACCAGGUAGGGAAUUUUAUAAAAAACAGGUAUGGUUGGCUAACAUGAUUUCUGCAGUCAAUAGAAUGGUUCGGGCUUACAAUCAAACUAACCUGGUAUAUAAAAUGCCACUAAAAUAACUAUAGCCCAAUAUGUAGGAAAUCUAUUGAUACUGGGGUGCUUUGUACUUCGCUUGUAAUAUACUGACAUCUUGUCUAAUUUUAUAUAUAUUAUUUCCCAGUAGACAAUACUAGGCAUAUUGUUUACUGGGAAAGGAUUGAGACAUUUCACUUAGCUGGACAAAACUGUCUUCUGAUCUGACGCAGGGGAUGGAUAGAGUGGAUAGAGGGAAGCUCUUUUCCCUCUCAUGCAAUACCAGAAACAGGGGAAAUCCACUCCAAUGGAGUUCUGGGAGAGUGAGAACAGAUCCAAAAAAUAUAUCUUUAUAC